RNAcentral lists this ribosomal RNA (534 nucleotides) under Triticum aestivum (bread wheat). RNAcentral's name for it is "partial small subunit ribosomal RNA". The record is from RNAcentral. Lineage: Eukaryota; Viridiplantae; Streptophyta; Magnoliopsida; Poales; Poaceae.
AUGAUGAAAUCUUCCAAGAGUCCCUCAGCCACCCAUCUCUUCAUAUGUAGGUUCAUUGAGGACUCAGACAUCAUCCCGAGGAAGACAAAGAAGGUUCCCGAGACCAUAAACAUAAAUGUGGUUCGUCCCAAAACACCUCUGAAUGGGUACGCCAAAAUUCAUGUGGACGCAAGUACUGCGUGGAGUCACAUAGCUAGAGCCUCAGCUGCUGUUUGCCGCGACGCAGAGGAGAACUUUUUGGGCAGCGCUUCCCAGGUGAUUCACUGGAUCAACAACGUUGCAACGCUAGAAGCCAUAGUGUGCCGGGAGUUGCUAUCUCCUGCGGAGGAUCUGAUGUUGCAUAAUUUCAUUGUCACAUCGGAUUUCAAGAUUAUUGUCAAAGAUAUUCAAAAUGGAAGCAACACAACAUAUGGUAACAUUACUAGCGAGAUUAAGAGUAGAGCUUUAAUGUUCGCUUGUACAUUCACUUAUGAAGGUAGAGCUACGAACGUUGAUGCAAAUAGGCUAGCCAAGUUUUCUUGUUCUCUUGAUUAG